This 200-nucleotide ribosomal RNA is filed under the name uncultured bacterium. RNAcentral's name for it is "partial 16S ribosomal RNA". It matches the Rfam family "Bacterial small subunit ribosomal RNA", at positions 30 to 242 of the family's 1533-position model. The record is from RNAcentral.
AUUGAACGCUGGCGGCAGGCCUAACACAUGCAAGUCGAGCGGGGUUUUCGGACCUAGCGGCGGACGGGUGAGUAAUGCGUGGGAAGCUGCCCGAUAGAGGGGGAUACCAGUUGGAAACGACUGUUAAUACUGCAUAAUGUCUACGGACCAAAGUGUGGGACCUUCGGGCCACAUGCUAUCGGAUGCGCCUACGUGGGAUU